RNAcentral lists this ribosomal RNA (418 nucleotides) under Pseudomonas sp. A8.13. RNAcentral's name for it is "bacterial SSU rRNA". It matches the Rfam family "Bacterial small subunit ribosomal RNA", at positions 36 to 456 of the family's 1533-position model. The record is from RNAcentral. Lineage: Bacteria; Pseudomonadati; Pseudomonadota; Gammaproteobacteria; Pseudomonadales; Pseudomonadaceae.
CUGGCGGCAGGCCUAACACAUGCAAGUCGAGCGGAUGAAAGGAGCUUGCUCCUGGAUUCAGCGGCGGACGGGUGAGUAAUGCCUAGGAAUCUGCCUGGUAGUGGGGGACAACGUUUCGAAAGGAACGCUAAUACCGCAUACGUCCUACGGGAGAAAGCAGGGGACCUUCGGGCCUUGCGCUAUCAGAUGAGCCUAGGUCGGAUUAGCUAGUUGGUGAGGUAAUGGCUCACCAAGGCGACGAUCCGUAACUGGUCUGAGAGGAUGAUCAGUCACACUGGAACUGAGACACGGUCCAGACUCCUACGGGAGGCAGCAGUGGGGAAUAUUGGACAAUGGGCGAAAGCCUGAUCCAGCCAUGCCGCGUGUGUGAAGAAGGUCUUCGGAUUGUAAAGCACUUUAAGUUGGGAGGAAGGGUUGU